GAUGAAUAACGCAGCGAAAUGCGAUAAGUAGUGUGAAUUGCAGAAUUCAGUGAAUCAUCGAAUCUUUGAACGCACAUUGCGCCCCUUGGUAUUCCAUGGGGCAUGCCUGUUCGAGCGUCAUUUGUACCCUCAAGCACUGCUUGGUGUUGGGUGUUUGUCCCGCUUUGCGCGUGGACUCGCCUUAAAGCAAUUGGCAGCCGGCAGAUUGGCCUGGAUCGCGAGCACAUUUUGCGACCUUGUCAUAACUGUUUGGCACCCAUCAAGACUAUUUUUUGCUCUUGACCUCGGAUCAGGUAGGGAUACCCGCUGAACUUAAGCAUAUCAAUAAGCGGAGGA
Molecule: unclassified non-coding RNA, 336 nt
Filed under: soil metagenome
Description: partial contains 5.8S ribosomal RNA, internal transcribed spacer 2, and large subunit ribosomal RNA
Rfam family: 5.8S ribosomal RNA (bases 1-120)
Source: RNAcentral